RNAcentral lists this ribosomal RNA (253 nucleotides) under uncultured bacterium. Its description in RNAcentral is "partial 16S ribosomal RNA". It matches the Rfam family "Bacterial small subunit ribosomal RNA", at positions 524 to 776 of the family's 1533-position model. The record is from RNAcentral.
UACGAAGGGUGCAAGCGUUAUCCGGAUUCAUUGGGUUUAAAGGGUGCGUAGGCGGGGUGAUAAGUCAGUGGUGAAAUCUUGCGGCUCAACCGUAAAAUUGCCAUUGAUACUGUCAUUCUUGAGUACGCUUGACGUGAGCGGAAUGUGCCGUGUAGCGGUGAAAUGCUUAGAUACGGCACAGAACACCGAUAGCGAAGGCAGCUCACGAAGGCGAAACUGACGCUGAGGCACGAAAGCGUGGGGAUCGAACAGG